Molecule: long non-coding RNA, 344 nt
Filed under: Salvia miltiorrhiza (redroot sage)
Lineage: Eukaryota; Viridiplantae; Streptophyta; Magnoliopsida; Lamiales; Lamiaceae
Description: long non-coding RNA (SMIL_LNC003436)
Source: RNAcentral
AUGCCCACAACAACAGAUGCUUCCCACCAAGGGACUCCACCGUAUAUUGGCCAAUUUCCUUGGACAUAUGGACGGACCCUUUCAAUCAAACCUUCAUUGUUAGCCUCAGCAAGGGUUUGCUAGUACGUAAUAACAAAAAAAAAAAAACAAAAACUGAUUUAUUAUGCCCAAUUCAUUUGAAUAUAUUUUCUAUGUAAACAAAAAAGUAACAUCAACUUACCUAUCCAAUUUGCUCCAUAAAACAAACUCUCCCCAAAAAGGGUGAUGGUGUUUGCCUCCCGUGCCAAAUCAUGUAGUUCAUAAUCACAUCAAGGUGCUGAAAAGUUAUAAAAUUAGCAUUAAAU